RNAcentral lists this long non-coding RNA (389 nucleotides) under Oryza brachyantha (malo sina). RNAcentral's name for it is "long non-coding RNA (OBRA_LNC001527)". Lineage: Eukaryota; Viridiplantae; Streptophyta; Magnoliopsida; Poales; Poaceae. The record is from RNAcentral.
GGCGGGUGAUGCGCCGGCCUGUCUGCUCAGAGUGAUCCGCGACGCCAUCCAAUACAUGAUCGGCGAACUCGGAGCAUGAAUUAGUCCGGCCUCGAGCUUCGAGUUUUCGACUGAUCGAUCGAGUAGAAGAUUAAGUGAAUUUUGUACGUAUAUUUGUACGCAUAAGCUGCCGAAGAAAGGCAGAUACGUACGUACGUACGUACGUACGUACCGGCUAUGUAUGGUCGUAUCGAUCGUAUUGUUAGUGUAGUGUACAUGUCAAUUGUAUAUUCAUAUUAGUCCCUCGUCCAUUCGAAAAUAAAAACAUUUCUAAUUUAUUUACCAAAAAUUAGGAGAAAAUACCAUGUUACUUCUCAAUAAAUGCUCAAUAAAUAAUAAAUGAAUUGAAG